CCUACGGGUGGCAGCAGUGAGGAAUAUUGGUCAAUGGGCGCGAGCCUGAACCAGCCAAGUAGCGUGAAGGAUGACUGCCCUACGGGUGGUAAACUUCUUUUAUAAAGGAAUAAAGUGAGGUACGUGUGCCUUUUUGUAUGUACUUUAUGAAUAAGGAUCGGCUAACUCCGUGCCAGCAGCCGCGGUAAUACGGCGGAUCCGAGCUUUAUCCGGAUUUAUUGGGUUUACAGGGAGCGUAGAUGGGUUGUUAAGUCAGUUGGUAAAGUUUGAGGCUCAACCGUAAAAUUGCAAGUGAUACUGGCAGUCUUGAGUACAGUUGGGGUAGGCGGAAUUCGUGGUGUAGCGGUGAAAUGCUUAGAUAUCACGAAGAACUCCGAUUGCGAAGGCAGCUUACUAAACUGCCACUGACAUUGAUGCUCGAAAGUGUGGGUAUCAAACAGGAUUAGAUACCCGAGUAGUC
This 460-nucleotide ribosomal RNA is filed under the name uncultured bacterium. RNAcentral's name for it is "partial 16S ribosomal RNA". It matches the Rfam family "Bacterial small subunit ribosomal RNA", at positions 338 to 795 of the family's 1533-position model. The record is from RNAcentral.